RNAcentral lists this long non-coding RNA (1140 nucleotides) under Calidris pugnax (ruff). Its description in RNAcentral is "lncRNA (ENSCPUG00000000249.1)". The record is from RNAcentral. Lineage: Eukaryota; Metazoa; Chordata; Aves; Charadriiformes; Scolopacidae.
GUCUCCUCGUCUUUGCCGUGAUGGUGGUCUGACAUGAACAGCUGUGCUCCCAAAUCCCUUGGCAGCUGUGGGAUACAGCAGCAGCCCGGGCUGCACCAUCCAGACCGAGGGAAGACACCACCACCAGGGCUCACCCAGGCCUCCCUGUGCUGGAAGCUUCCAGAUCUGAAGAUUGACAUUCCCUCCUUCACAUGUCCCAAACCGAAUAUUAUUCCACACAUGAAGUCUUGUAACAUCUUGCAAUAAGAGACUUGAAGCCAAUUCGCACAUUGCUCCAUGUGCAGGGUUUCAUUUUGCCACUGAACUGUGGAAAGAACAUUGCUGGAACUGUAAGCUCUGUUUGGAUCGGGAUGGCACUUAGAAAUACAUCUCACUGCUUGCAAUUUAGUCAAGAAUUGUGGAGCUGUAUAGCUUGUCAAUAGUAUUCUGCUAUUCUGGUGGCCUUUUUAUUCCUUCUUGGCUUUGGAUUUUUUUUUCCUAACACAAAUAGCUUUAUGUGGACUGGUUUACCAGUAAGAGGCAGUUACAUCAGACAUGUUUCAUAUGUCACAUUAUUGUCUGCUGUUGGAAAUGAUCCACUUCUGACUUCUUGGGUGAAAUGAAUAGCAUUGUUGAAAAAUGUAAACUGCCUCUGGCUUCGUUAUAAUAGGCUUGUAUGACCAUGAUCAUAACGACACCUACAGUUUAUUAUUAAUCUCCAGCAAUUUAAACAAGGAAUUCUGAGGCUUGGUAAAUUGGAAAAUUGAAAUGUGCCUUUCUUGGUCCUUCUAGAUGUAACCAGUUUGUCUUCACACAUCUACCACUUCUUAAGAGUGGCUUAUUAAUUAUAUGGAGUUUGAAAGUGUUGUAUAAUAAGAGUUAUAUAAUUCCUUCCUAAUUCAACAUUUCACAGUGUGGUAGUAAUAUACAGACUAUUGACAGAAAUCUUAUAGUAAAUUAAUGGUAUAAUUAUUCCUUAAUGUGUAUGUUUUCAGGAGUUAAAAAGAACAAGUAAGUCUGUCAGCUUCACACUUGAAAUAGGGACAUGGUGCAUAUGAUUAACUGAUAUGGCUAACACAAUUUUUAUUACUGUGCUUUGAUUUUUAUUACAUUUUGUGAGUCAGGGUCCAUUAGCUUCAAUAAAAACUUGGAUUAGAAACA